CUCCUUCCCAGAGCUGAGGAGCUUUCAUUUCCAAUGCCGUAGAUUAAACAGUUCCAAUCCAUUUAAACAGUUGCAGAACUAAAGCCCACAGACCUAUUGUCAAUUAAAGCUGUAAAUAUCCCACAGUCUGUACAAAAUGAAACCUUUAAAAAAGAACAGCAGCACCACAGUUUUUCACUCCUUGAUCACUACACCUGCCUCAUUAAUCUCCUGCACCCAUGUGAGGUAAAUACAUGGUACAACUAUAAACUAAAAUCAAUAAUACCUUUAAAAAGGUUUAAUUUGAUUCUACCAGGGAGGUUAUCAUAAUCCUACUCCGCUUUCUCACAUUCUGCUAGCAAUUUCUCAGCUCAGUUUCCACUGCUAACUUUGUUCUCCAUCCCCCUAUCUAUCAUGCUGCUAUAAUGCCAGCUCAAACGCUGUUUGUAACAGCGCAGCAAUUUCUCAGAAGUUGCCAGCUUCAUAGUGCGUUCCUUUAGAAGUGCAUGGAAAUUAUUAGAUUAAAUUACAAAUGAGAGACUCUGCAGUCAGUCGUGAUUACCGGACCAUUUAUGUACAUUCGGCUGAUCGUGAAUUUUAACAUUUGUUCCUCCGCAUCUUUGCAGACCUUCUGUUUACAUCCUGUUUUUCAAGAUGAUAUAAGAAGUGAAACUGAAGACAACUGGAAGAGAGCCCCACAUUUUCCCAAAGAAAGGGCAGUGGCACACACGCACUCAACUCCUUCCCGGCCUAAGUGCCAACAGAACCUCCACAAGCAUCGUAAAAAGCUCUGUUAAUAUCAGGACAUAUCGCAGAACGCUUCUGGAAGGAAGAACUGCACGGCAAUCUGCUUCACAAAGGAAGACCUGUGACAACACAGUUCUGUCCUCUGUUCUGUAAGAUUUCACACACCAGCACCAGACCAAACAGCUCACAUACACAGAAAUAUCUGAAGAGAACGCUGAUAAUAUUGCAGCUGGUGAUCAUAACAGAGUAAGCAGCAGGAUCUUCGAUUAUCUCACUGCUGCAGAUAAGCCGGCUGUCACAAAUGUUGAAGUAUUAAAACAGCUUUGCAGCAGACACAACCACGAAAGAAAAUAAGGGGCAUAAACCAAACAUUUCUACUGCUUUGAAGGGUUUGCUGAGUCAAGCGAGGAUUCCUGCAGACAGACAGCUGCGUGCACAUGGAGCUGCGCUGAUGGUACCACUCCUCCCUGCAUGCCGCCCCAGAGCCCGGCGCUGCCGGCUCGGAUCGUGCUGCAGAACCAUGGCCCAAGUGGGAAAAUUCCUACACCUGUGCACACUUGAACAUACAAGCUUCCAGGCAGCUGCUCUAAAAAUACAUUCACCUGUACCAGGCACAUAGUAAGGUCAUGCUGCUGCUGUAGGAAACCACGUGAAAGAAGCAAGAAGUAAAAUUUGAUUUCAAUAAUUAACAAUAACAAUAGUAAAA
Molecule: long non-coding RNA, 1432 nt
Organism: Numida meleagris (helmeted guineafowl)
Lineage: Eukaryota; Metazoa; Chordata; Aves; Galliformes; Numididae
Exons: 2
Source: RefSeq, a predicted model, not a curated record